GUUGUUUGAAAAUAAUUUUUUUUAAAAUUAUUGAUUGUCUUUCCCUGUUGAAUUGGUUGUCCUUUUGGACGGUUGAUUCGCCAGGGGAUAGUCAGUAAUUUUUAAAAAGACCUUUUUUAAAAUUAAACUUUGUGUAUUCAUUUGUCUAAAUUAUUUUAUAAUAUAAAAACAACUUUUGACAAUGGAUCUCUUGGUUCUCGCAACGAUGAAGAACGCAGCAAAAUGCGAUAUAGUAGUGAAUUGCAGAAUACGUGAAUCAUCGAAUCUUCGAAGCAUAUUGGCACUUUUUUAGUUUACUAAAAAAGUAUGUCUGUUUGAGUAUCAGUAAAAUAUUCUCAUAAAAACUUUUUUGUUUUUAUGGUUAUGAGUGUUUUACAACGAUACAAGCUGUUUCACUUUAAAUUUUUUUAAAAAUUUGAAUUUUUUUCUAAUUUAAUAUAAAAUUGGAUAAAAUUUUCCGUAAAAGGAUAACCUAAACAAUUUUAUAAACUAUUAGAUUUUCAAAAAAAAGGAAAUUUAUUAAAAUAACUUGAUCUCAAAUCAGAUAAGAGUACCGCUGAACUUAGCAUAUCAAUAAGCGGAGGAAAAGAAACUAACAAGGAUUCCCUUAGUAACGGCGAGUGAGCGGGAAGAGCUCAAAUUUGAAUCUUCAAGGUUUUACCUUGACGAAUUGUAGUUUUAAAGAAGUGUUUUCUGUUGAAGUUUUGGUAAAAGUUCUUUGGAAUAGGACAUCAUAGAGGGUGAGAAUCCCGUAUUUGACCAUUAUUUUCAGCUGUGUGAUACACUUUCAAAGAGUCGGAUUGUUUGGGAAUGCAGUCCAAAAUGGGUGGUAAUUUCAUCUAAAGCUAAAUAUUGGCGAGAGACCGAUAGCGAACAAGUACCGUGAGGGAAAGAUGAAAAGAACUUUGAAAAGAGAGUUAAACAGUACGUGAAUUGUCAAAAGGGAAGCGUUUGACACAGUGUUGUUUUCUCGAAAAAUCAAUUAAAAAGAGUUUGAUUUUGUGUUGUAUGACCUUAACAGCUUCUUUCAUUUUUCUGCUUUUUUUAAUGCACUUUUCGUUUAACAAGUCAACAUCAGUUUCUUUUGUUGUAAAGGGUCAUUGGAAGGUGGCUUCUUUUCGGAGAAAGUGUUUAUAGCCUUUGAUCUCUGCAAUCGGAGAGACUGAGGUCUGCAGCGUAGAUCCUUCGGGUUAGAUACAUUUGUGCUAAGUUAUAACUUUUCAUAGACAACUUGUUGACUAUGUUAGUCAUGUAGCUUACUCGCUUAUGCUAUUUACCUACGCUUAGGAUGUUGAC
RNAcentral lists this unclassified non-coding RNA (1296 nucleotides) under uncultured Neocallimastigales. RNAcentral describes it as "partial contains internal transcribed spacer 1, 5.8S ribosomal RNA, internal transcribed spacer 2, and large subunit ribosomal RNA". The stretch from base 531 to 1296 matches the Rfam family "Eukaryotic large subunit ribosomal RNA", at positions 1 to 630 of the family's 3401-position model. Lineage: Eukaryota; Fungi; Neocallimastigomycota; Neocallimastigomycetes; Neocallimastigales. The record is from RNAcentral.